Molecule: long non-coding RNA, 2600 nt
Organism: Eriocheir sinensis (Chinese mitten crab)
Lineage: Eukaryota; Metazoa; Arthropoda; Malacostraca; Decapoda; Varunidae
Exons: 3
Source: RefSeq, a predicted model, not a curated record
UAAGUAAGGAAUUAGUAUUUGUGUCAACCUGAAGAUGCAUUUUACAUAUAAUAAUAAAUUCCUUUAAACUUUCAACCCUUCCUUCCUUCCACACAGUCACUACCACCAGAGGGUCAACACAGGGGGCAGGGUCAGAGCCUUGCCGAGACACAGGGUCAAAUAUUUACAAACUCUCCUAUCUUUACCAACAUAAUAAUCAUUUUCCUGGCAUUGCUUCCCAAGGCCGCCACAGAGAAUAGACACAAGGUAUCCAUGUUACUGUUCAAGGUGCAGAAACAUUUUAAAACUACCUCCAGGAUGACUGCAUCUUCUUCAACAUAUUGGGCUCCCAUUACCACUGUUUACACAGACAAAGUUAACCAGGUUUUCAUGGGUGGAAGGAAAGUUUGGUUUAGUGACAUCCUUGGUCAUAUGCCGGAGAGAGACAGGAGGGGAAGGAAUUAUAGGAGAAGGGAACAUCUGUGGUCAUAUGCCGGAGAGAGACAGAAGGGGAAGGAAUUAUAGAAGGGAACAUCUGUGGUCAUAUGCCGGAGAGAGACAGGAGGGGAAGGAAUUAUAGGAGAAGGGAACAUCUGUGGUCAUAUGCCGGAGAGAGACAGAAGGGGAAGGAAUUAUAGAAGGGAACAUCUGUGGUCAUAUGCCGGAGAGAGACAGGAGGGGAAGGAAUUAUAGGAGAAGGGAACAUCUGUGGUCAUAUGCCGGAGAGAGACAGGAGGGGAAGGAAUUACAGGAGAAGGGAACAUCUGUGGUCAUAUGCCAGAGAGAGACAGGAGGGGAAGGAAUUAUAGGAGAAGGGAGCAUCUGUGGUCAUAUGCCGGAGAGAGACAGAAGGGGAAGGAAUUAUAGGAGAAGGGAACAUCUGUGGUCAUAUGCCGGAGAGAGACAGGAGGGGAAGGAAUUAUAGGAGAAGGGAACAUCUGUGGUCAUAUGCUGGAGAGAGACAGAAGGGGAAGGAAUUAUAGGAGAAGGGAACAUCUGUGGUCAUAUGCCGGAGAGAGACAGAAGGGGAAGGAAUUAUAGGAGAAGGGAACAUCUGUGGUCAUAUGCCGGAGAGACAGAAGGGGAAGGAAUUAUAGGAGAAGGGAACAUCUGUGGUCAUAUGCCGGAGAGAGACAGGAGGGGAAGGAAUUAUAGGAGAAGGGAACAUCUGUGGUCAUAUGCCGGAGAGAGACAGAAGGGGAAGGAAUUAUAGAAGGGAACAUCUGUGGUCAUAUGCUGGAGAGAGACAGGAGGGGAAGGAAUUAUAGGAGAAGGGAACAUCUGUGGUCAUAUGCCGGAGAGAGACAGAAGGGGAAGGAAUUAUAGAAGGGAACAUCUGUGGUCAUAUGCCAGCAAGAGACAGGAGGGGAAGGAAUUAUAGGAGAAGGGAACAUCUGUGGUCAUAUGCCGGAGAGAGACAGGAGGGGAAGGAAUUAUAGGAGAAGGGAACAUCUGUGGUCAUAUGCCGGAGAGAGACAGAAGGGGAAGGAAUUAUAGGAGAAGGGAACAUCUGUGGUCAUAUGCCGGAGAGAGACAGAAGGGGAAGGAAUUAUAGGAGAAGGGAACAUCUGUGGUCAUAUUGUAGUGCCGGGACGCAGUAUUAAGUAUGGGUAAGUAAUGUUAAGUUAAUGUAAGUAACAUUUAAGUUAAUGUAAGAAUUAUUAGUAACAUUGAAUUAUUAUUGCGUGAUGCUCACACCCCCGAGACAGACGGACAGACAGACAGACAUACAUGUUGACGCCUGCAGAAAGUAGGUGAUCGGCUCCAUACGAGAUAAUGGGCAUAAUUUUAAUACAAGAUAGUAGCUUCUAGUUAGAAUUUUUCACCUUGCUAUUCAGGGGAACCAUUAUACCAAUAUCAUGCGACGAGUAAAGUACCGUAGACGGUUGUUGCAAGGUUGAACAAAUCAGGGUUCAAAUUAAAUCUGGGGAGGGAUGUGAACCGCGGGCAGCGGCUGUGUAGGGAGCCCCACCCAGCAAACACCAACAGACACGCCUUGGCUCUUCCCCCGGACAGGUGCGUCUCUCUGAGGUGAAGUAAUUCCUGUUCAUAUUAUAGAUAUAUUUUCUCAUUAUUGUAUUUGUGCGGUGCAAACACUAACAGACAUGCCUUGGCUCUUCCCCCGGACAGGUGCGUCUCUCUGAGGUGAAGUAAUUCCUGUUCAUAUUAUAGAUAUAUUUUCUCAUUAUUGUAUUUGUGCGGUGCAAACACUAACAGACACGCCUUGGCUCUUCCCCCGGACAGGGAAGUGAGUGGAGAUAAAGGGUCUGUCACGUGCGUGUCUCGGGUGUGUUCGGUAUGAUACACGUAUUGACUACGUAGGGUGUUUAGUCCACGGAGUAGCAGGGCUGUGCAGUAUUUCUCUUUAACGAGGAUGUAACCACCUGGUUCGUCCCCUUUGUCUGCUGGUUAGGCUAUAUUUUACUAAGGAUAUAGGAGAUUGUAAGAAGAUUGUUUAUGCCCAUGUGAGCACCAGUGAACUGUUUUUCGUGCCACGUUUGUGGUAGGCGGUGGCCGAAUUGGUAGAGUACUGGGCCCACAUUCACCGCGUGAUGGACGACGCGGGUUCGAAUCCCCACGCUACCACUCGGAUUUUUCAGCCACCGCCGAGUGGCUUAAAA